AGAACGAACGCUGGCGGCAGGCUUAACACAUGCAAGUCGAACGGUUGUAGCAAUACAGCAGUGGCAGACGGGUGAGUAACACGUGGGAACCUUCCUAGGGGUACGGAACAACUCAGGGAAACUUGAGCUAAUACCGUAUACGUCCGUGAGGAGAAAGAUUUAUCGCCCCUAGACGGGCCCGCGUAGGAUUAGGUAGUUGGUGAGGUAACGGCUCACCAAGCCUACGAUCCUUAGCUGAUCUGAGAGGAUGAUCAGCCACACUGGGACUGAGACACGGCCCAGACUCCUACGGGAGGCAGCAGUGGGGAAUCUUGGACAAUGGGCGCAAGCCUGAUCCAGCCAUGCCGCGUGAGUGAAGAAGGCCCUUCGGGUCGUAAAGCUCUUUUACCAGGGACGAUAAUGACGGUACCUGGAGAAUAAGCCCGGCAAACUUCGUGCCAGCAGCCGC
RNAcentral lists this ribosomal RNA (448 nucleotides) under uncultured bacterium. Its description in RNAcentral is "SSU rRNA". It matches the Rfam family "Bacterial small subunit ribosomal RNA", at positions 26 to 518 of the family's 1533-position model. The record is from RNAcentral.